RNAcentral lists this ribosomal RNA (490 nucleotides) under Streptococcus mitis. RNAcentral's name for it is "bacterial SSU rRNA". It matches the Rfam family "Bacterial small subunit ribosomal RNA", at positions 1 to 481 of the family's 1533-position model. The record is from RNAcentral. Lineage: Bacteria; Bacillati; Bacillota; Bacilli; Lactobacillales; Streptococcaceae.
UAGAGUUUGAUCCUGGCUCAGGACGAACGCUGGCGGCGUGCCUAAUACAUGCAAGUAGAACGCUGAAGGAGGAGCUUGCUUCUCUGGAUGAGUUGCGAACGGGUGAGUAACGCGUAGGUAACCUGCCUGGUAGCGGGGGAUAACUAUUGGAAACGAUAGCUAAUACCGCAUAACAGUAGAUGUUGCAUGACAUUUACUUAAAAGGUGCAAUUGCAUCACUACCAGAUGGACCUGCGUUGUAUUAGCUAGUUGGUGGGGUAACGGCUCACCAAGGCGACGAUACAUAGCCGACCUGAGAGGGUGAUCGGCCACACUGGGACUGAGACACGGCCCAGACUCCUACGGGAGGCAGCAGUAGGGAAUCUUCGGCAAUGGACGGAAGUCUGACCGAGCAACGCCGCGUGAGUGAAGAAGGUUUUCGGAUCGUAAAGCUCUGUUGUAAGAGAAGAACGAGUGUGAGAGUGGAAAGUUCACACUGUGACGGUAUCUU